GCCGUAGGUGAACCUGCGGAGGGAUCAUUACUGAGUUUACGCUCUACAACCCUUUGUGAACAUACCUACAACUGUUGCUUCGGCGGGUAGGGUCUCCGCGACCCUCCCGGCCUCCCGCCUCCGGGCGGGUCGGCGCCCGCCGGAGGAUAACCAAACUCUGAUUUAACGACGUUUCUUCUGAGUGGUACAAGCAAAUAAUCAAAACUUUUAACAACGGAUCUCUUGGUUCUGGCAUCGAUGAAGAACGCAGCGAAAUGCGAUAAGUAAUGUGAAUUGCAGAAUUCAGUGAAUCAUCGAAUCUUUGAACGCACAUUGCGCCCGCCAGCAUUCUGGCGGGCAUGCCUGUUCGAGCGUCAUUUCAACCCUCAAGCUCUGCUUGGUGUUGGGGCCCUACAGCCGAUGUAGGCCCUCAAAGGUAGUGGCGGACCCUCCCGGAGCCUCCUUUGCGUAGUAACUUUACGUCUCGCACUGGGAUCCGGAGGGACUCUUGCCGUAAAACCCCCCAAUUUUCCAAAGGUUGACCUCGGAUCAGGUAGGAAUACCCGCUGAACUUAAGCAUAUCAAUAAGCGGAGGC
This 575-nucleotide ribosomal RNA is filed under the name Colletotrichum gloeosporioides. RNAcentral's name for it is "eukaryotic LSU rRNA". The stretch from base 203 to 356 matches the Rfam family "5.8S ribosomal RNA". The record is from RNAcentral. Lineage: Eukaryota; Fungi; Ascomycota; Sordariomycetes; Glomerellales; Glomerellaceae.